This 137-nucleotide ribosomal RNA is filed under the name uncultured Bacillota bacterium. RNAcentral describes it as "uncultured Firmicutes bacterium partial 16S ribosomal RNA". It matches the Rfam family "Bacterial small subunit ribosomal RNA", at positions 355 to 507 of the family's 1533-position model. The record is from RNAcentral. Lineage: Bacteria; Bacillati; Bacillota.
UGGGGAAUAUUGGGCAAUGGACGCAAGUCUGACCCAGCAACGCCGCGUGAAGGAAGAAGGCUUUCGGGUUGUAAACUUCUUUUGUCAGGGAACAGUAGAAGAGGGUACCUGACGAAUAAGCCACGGCUAACUACGUG